CAAUAAGCACUUGUUGACAUCAUUAACCAGCCAAGGUCCGACUGACGCCGCGAUAUCUCGAUACCUGUAGCCGGACCAGAGCCCAGCAGCGGUCGGACCAACCCUUCAGCAGCAGACAGUCCACUUACAGAUCAACGUAGGGAUCUUGGCUGAUCAAAAACCCAUAUUGAGCUCUGCAAUGAGCUGGUGAGAUAUUGUAACCUAUUUAUGUUUUCAAUUGCAGAUAAAGAAAAAUGGCGGAAAGUUCUGUGGUUGGUUGUGGAAAGUGUCUGAAAUAUUUUCUAAUUAUUUUUAGUUUUUCAUCUUUUCUGGUCGGCUGCGCAGUUUUAACUGUUGGCCUUUACACAUUGUUGACUGAUUUCGGUUCAGAUGAAGCUGCCGCCAUCUUGGGGAGUGAUAUCUACAAAGCCGGUUCGUAUACGUUGGCUGCUGGCGGAGGGAUAAUUCUAGUUGUGUCGUUAUGUGGUUGCUGUGGAUCCAUUAAAGAAGAUCGCGGUUUCUUAUGUUGUUAUUUUGUGGUAUUUAUAUGUAUGCUGACGGUAUUUAUUGCUGCUGGAGUUUUAGGAUUUGUGUUCAGGAACAAGAUUAUAAAUCAAGUUCAAAUAGAGUUGGAAACGAGGCUUAAAUAUAAAUAUGGCGUCGAUUUGAAUUCGCCAGAAAAUCAACAAUUUACCGAAUCCUGGGAUAAAUUACAACGAAAGUUGAUGUGUUGUGGUAUUACUGGUGGUAUCAAUUCAACAGAAUCCUGGGCUUUUUAUAAACUUUCUGAUACUAAAUGGUAUCAACAGUUUUCUUCAGGUGUACCAUAUGUACCCAGUAGUUGCUGUGAUCCGGCUGGGGAAUUACCCAAAUGUGACGGAACUAUGGCCUUUUACGGUCCACCUAGUCUCGGACCACCAGUUAAUUCUAGUAUGCUGAUGAAUGAAGCUUUAUACCCGGAGGGUUGCUAUGACAAAUUACAAAACUCCCUAGAGAUGAACUCCUUACUGAUUGGUGGAUUCGCUCUAGCAACGCUUGUUGUCAUGGUUAUUGGUAUUCUAUUUUCUAUUUGUUUGUUUCGACAACUUGGUGGAGGACAGAUGGUUUAAACAAAAUAUCUCAUGUUUCCCAGACAUUCAUAAAUAGUCAACGAUAAGGAGGGGAGAAAUGACGUCAUCACGUUUAACAUGUAUCUUGAUUGCUAUAGUCGGGAUCAUUUUGUCUUGUUUUAUCUUGAAUGCUGUAGUCAUGAUCAUUUUGUUUUGUUUUAUCUUGAUUGCUAUAGUCGUGAUCAUUUUGUCUUGUUUUAACUUUAUUGCUGUAGGCCUGAUCAUAUUGUCUUGUUUUGCACACAGUGUUACGAAAUCCCAUGAUGUUAUUGUUCGCCUUCAGACCACCCGCAGUUACAUUCACAAUUUUUCUCGCUGAAUGAUUUUUGAUAUUUUCAGACUUGUAUCAUAAUUAUUAGUUAUAUAAUAAAUAAUUUUAGGUGGAAAUAUACCAUGGGUCUAUCUUUAAAGAUGCCGGAUGUGACGUUAUGAGGGGAACAGUAAGUCAGUGUUUAUUAAAAAAUAAAACCAAUAUAACCCACUGCCUCCCCCCUUCGUACCCUGUAUAAACACGUGGCAUAUACUAAGAAAGUCGUUACAUCACAUCAAAGACUAUUUGAUAAAUUUAUUUUAGUUACCCUCAUAACGAGAGAGAGAGAGAGAGAGAGAGAGAGAGAGAGAGAGAGAGAUUAACGCCCACUCGACACAAACUAGGUAAUUUCGGGACUAACAUAUGGUUCAAUUUUAUUUCAAUAAUUCGCUUGUGCAUAGGGGUCUUUAGCAGUGGGAGGAAACCGGAGGACCCGGAGAAAACCCACGAUGUUGGACACAUAACGUUAGAACAGGAGUUUUUAUUUGCUAAUUAAAGACGAAACAAUUUGUACUAUGGGUUGACACUUUUUCAAAUGGUAGAUAGCAUAUAUACAGAAUCUGGAAGCUGGAACCAAGCAACCGUAGUGUUAUAUAUCUAGCCCGCCUCCCACUGCCGUAUGGUGGUAAACCGAGUAUGAUCCGAUCCCACAGUCAAUUACUAUUAAGUGAUUUCAUCUGAAUCAAUCUGUACCACAAAAAAUUGAUACAAGGGGCCGAAGAAUUGUCAAGUUAUCGUUUUUAUCUCCUCGAUUAUCCCCCCAUUUCACCCCUGAUGUAAAUUACACGAUUCAAGUAGGAGAAUGAAAAGCUCUUCAUCUUUAAUCAGGAAAGGAAAACACAAAAAGUAUCGACUUCAAGUCAACAUGGAUCGUUUCUUCCUUCAAUAUUGAAGAGUUGUAUUAAUCUCGAAGAGCGACGUGAUGACAAGACUUUUAUUUUCCAUUUGAAGAAUACAAUUUAUUCCCGUGUAAUGUUUUUUUUUUAUUCACUUUGAAUUGAACAUAUUAUCUGAUAUCUUGACGAACGGUGAAAUAAACAACUAUACUUGUGCGUUUUAGACACGUAUCAUUGAGUCAAGUGACGUAGUCAUUCUGCACACAGAGUUCCAUCUACUUCAUACUUCGAGAAUAGUAAUUG
This is a long non-coding RNA of Patella vulgata (common limpet), 2537 nucleotides long. RefSeq lists it as uncharacterized. The transcript is spliced from 8 exons. NCBI's taxonomy places the organism in Eukaryota, Metazoa, Mollusca, Gastropoda, Patellidae. The record is from RefSeq and is a predicted model, not a curated record.